RNAcentral lists this non-coding RNA (162 nucleotides) under Gammaproteobacteria bacterium. The record is from RNAcentral. Lineage: Bacteria; Pseudomonadati; Pseudomonadota; Gammaproteobacteria.
AUAAAUUAAGGUGCCUAAGGCUUGCUCAGUACAAUGUUAUUGUAUUAAUAGUGCUUAGGGUAAACGGGAAGUUAGGUGAUAAAACCCUACGCUGCCCCCGCAACGGUGAUUUAAAUGCAUUGCAUUUAACAGCCCGAUACCGGCCUCAAUUUCGUUUUUUAU